AGAAAGACUGCAAGAACUGCUAACUCAUGCCCCCAUAUAUAAAAAUAUGGCUUUCUUAC
Molecule: transfer RNA, 59 nt
Filed under: Chodsigoa smithii (Smith's shrew)
Lineage: Eukaryota; Metazoa; Chordata; Mammalia; Eulipotyphla; Soricidae
Description: tRNA-Ser
Source: RNAcentral